AGAAUCAACGCUGGCGGCGUGCCUAACACAUGCAAGUCGAACGAGAAAGUGGAGCAAUCCACGAGUAAAGUGGCGCACGGGUGAGUAACACGUGACUAACCUACCCUUGAGUGGGGGAUAACCUAGGGAAACCUGGGCUAAUACCGCAUGAUACCUACGGGUCAAAGGAGCAAUUCGCUUAAGCGAGGGGGUCGCGGCCGAUUAGUUAGUUGGCGGGGUAAUGGCCCACCAAGACGAUGAUCGGUAUCCGGCCUGAGAGGGCGCACGGACACACUGGAACUGAAACACGGUCCAGACUCCUACGGGAGGCAGCAGUGGGAAUUUUGCGCAAUGGGGGAAACCCUGACGCAGCAACGCCGCGUGGAGGAUGAAGUCCCUUGGGAUGUAAACUCCUUUCGAUCGGGACGAUUAUGACGGUACCGGAAGAAGAACGCCCGGCUAACUUCGUGCCAGCAGCCGC
Molecule: ribosomal RNA, 460 nt
Filed under: uncultured bacterium
Lineage: Bacteria
Description: SSU rRNA
Rfam family: Bacterial small subunit ribosomal RNA
Source: RNAcentral